RNAcentral lists this ribosomal RNA (459 nucleotides) under uncultured bacterium. Its description in RNAcentral is "partial 16S ribosomal RNA". It matches the Rfam family "Bacterial small subunit ribosomal RNA", at positions 338 to 795 of the family's 1533-position model. The record is from RNAcentral.
CCUACGGGCGGCAGCAGUGAGGAAUAUUGGUCAAUGGGCGCGAGCCUGAACCAGCCAAGUCGCGUGAGGGAAGACGGUCCUAUGGAUUGUAAACCUCUUUUGUCGGGGAGCAAAAGACGCUACGCGUGGCGUUCCGAGAGUACCCUAAGAAAAAGCAUCGGCUAACUCCGUGCCAGCAGCCGCGGUAAUACGGAGGAUGCGAGCGUUAUCCGGAUUUAUUGGGUUAAAGGGGUGCGCAGGCGGAAGUUCAAGUCAGCGGGAAAAUUCCGGGGCCAAACCUCGUCGAGCCGUUGAAACUGGUUUUCUUGAGUGAGCGAGAAGUAUGCGGAAUGCGUAGUGUAGCGGUGAAAUGCUUAGAUAUUGCGCAGAACUCCGAUUGCGAAGGCAGCCUACCGGCGGCGAUCUGACGCUGAGGCACGAAAGCGUGGGUAUCGAACAGGAUUAGAUACCCUAGUAGUC